GUUUAUUAUUAGUAGUAGUAGUAGUAGUACUAAAAAAGUAUUGUAGUUAACAUUAAUAUUACAUUUCUUCUCCCAGGUGCAGCGGGAGGUGAUGGCUCUGGUGCCAAACCUGAUCUCCAACUUGGAGGACUUGGAUGGAGAUGGCAGCUACAGCUCAGUCACAAACAGCUCGCCUGGUCCUGUGACUGGAGGCACCAAUGGAAAUGAGACAGAAGAUUUGGACCAAAAUGAUGAACUUGAGAGUAAAGAGCUCAUAGCCAUCGAUGUUGGCUUGGCCUCGCCUAUCGAACACCCACAGAACUCUGGGACAUCUCCUGGCCCUGCCCCCUCCUCCCCAUCGCAUCAGUUCCACACCCAUUCCGCUUCCAGGGCUGCCUCCCUUUGCUCCUCCCUCUUCUACCCGACCCAGUCCAGAGCUGGCUCAGGUUUAGGGUCUGGGUCAAGGGGCUUGACCUUUGACCCCCCACGCAGAGUGUCAGCAGCAGCGCCUCAUAUCUCGCCGCCAGCAGAGAACUCGUUUGCGUUUGCAGACGCUCGUGUUCUUGACUCGGCAGGCUGGGAGGCGCGCAGACAGGAGGUGCUGGAGCAGGAGCACCAGCAGACCAUGAGCCUUCUUCUACUGCAGCAGUGUGUGUGGGAGGAGAAGAGGAGAGCAGCCAGACAGAAGGAGAAAGCAGCGCGGGCCAAGAAACGCUACUACCAGGCCAAACUGCGCAAGCUGGGGGGUGAAGUGCAGCUCUCCAGCAGCGACAGCGAUGAGGAGCAUCUCCAGACAUGA
Molecule: long non-coding RNA, 778 nt
Organism: Pygocentrus nattereri (red-bellied piranha)
Lineage: Eukaryota; Metazoa; Chordata; Actinopteri; Characiformes; Serrasalmidae
Source: Ensembl